CCUACGGGUGGCAGCAGUGAGGAAUAUUGGUCAAUGGGCUUACGCCUGAACCAGCCAAGUCGCGUGAGGGAAGAAUGCCCUAUGGGUUGUAAACCUCUUUUGUCAGGGAGCAAGUGGCGCUACGUGUAGCGUUAUCGAGAGGACCUGAAGAAAAAGCAUCGGCGAACUCCGUGCCAGCAGCCGCGGUAAUACGGAGGAUGCGAGCGUUAGCCGGAUGUAUUGGGUUUAAAGGGUGCGUAGGCGGAAUGCCACGUCAGCGGUCAACUCGCGGGGCUCAACCUCGCUCCGCCGUUGAAACUGGCGUUCUUGAGUGUGCGAGAAGUAUGCGGAAUGCGUGGUGUAGCGGU
This 347-nucleotide ribosomal RNA is filed under the name uncultured bacterium. RNAcentral describes it as "partial 16S ribosomal RNA". It matches the Rfam family "Bacterial small subunit ribosomal RNA", at positions 338 to 682 of the family's 1533-position model. The record is from RNAcentral.